Molecule: ribosomal RNA, 780 nt
Filed under: uncultured bacterium
Lineage: Bacteria
Description: bacterial SSU rRNA
Rfam family: Bacterial small subunit ribosomal RNA
Source: RNAcentral
AGAGUUUGAUCCUGGCUCAGGAUGAACGCUAGCGGCAGGCUUAACACAUGCAAGUCGAGGGGUAACGGGGAAGCUUGCUUCCGCCGACGACCGGCGCACGGGUGCGUAACGCGUAUACAAUCUACCUUGUACUGGGGUAUAGCCUUUAGAAAUGAAGAUUAACCCCCCAUAGUCUCUUAGAGUGGCAUCACUUCUAGAGUAAAGGUUACGGUAUAAGAUGAGUAUGCGUUCUAUUAGUUUGUUGGUGUGGUAACGGCACACCAAGACUACGAUAGAUAGGGGCCCUGAGAGGGGGACCCCCCACACUGGUACUGAGACACGGACCAGACUCCUACGGGAGGCAGCAGUGAGGAAUAUUGGACAAUGGAGGCAACUCUGAUCCAGCCAUGCCGCGUGCAGGAAGACUGCCCUAUGGGUUGUAAACUGCUUUUAUACAGGAAGAAACACCUCUACGUGUAGAGGCUUGACGGUACUGUAAGAAUAAGGAUCGGCUAACUCCGUGCCAGCAGCCGCGGUAAUACGGAGGAUCCAAGCGUUAUCCGGAAUCAUUGGGUUUAAAGGGUCCGUAGGUGGAUAAUUAAGUCAGAGGUGAAAUCUUGCAGCUCAACUGUAAAAUUGCCUUUGAAACUGGUUAUCUUGAGUUAUUAUGAAGUAGUUAGAAUAUGUAGUGUAGCGGUGAAAUGCAUAGAUAUUACAUAGAAUACCAAUUGCGAAGGCAGAUUACUAAUAAUCAACUGACACUGAUGGACGAAAGCGUGGGUAGCGAACAGGAUUAGAUAC